Molecule: ribosomal RNA, 451 nt
Filed under: Engaeus martigener
Lineage: Eukaryota; Metazoa; Arthropoda; Malacostraca; Decapoda; Parastacidae
Description: partial 16S large subunit ribosomal RNA
Rfam family: Archaeal large subunit ribosomal RNA
Source: RNAcentral
CGCGGUAUUUUGACCGUGCAAAGGUAGCAUAAUCAUUAGUCUUUUAAUUGAAGGCUAGAAUGAAAGGUUGGACGAGAAGUUAGCUGUCUUUAUUAGAAAAGUAGAAUUUAACUUUCAAGUGAAAAGGCUUGAAUAUUCUGGGGGGACGAUAAGACCCUAUAAAGUUUGACAUUUAUAUUUAUUAUAAAAUGAAGUGGAGGUAUAAAAUUUAUUAGUAAUAUAUUGUUUUGUUGGGGCGACAAGAAUAUAAAUAAUUUAACUGUUUUAUACUAAAACAAUGAUAUUUGAAGGAGCUUGAUCUUUAUUAAAGGUAGAAGAGUAAAUUACUUUAGGGAUAACAGCGUUAUUUUUUUUGAGAGUUCUUAUCGACAAAAAAGUUUGCGACCUCGAUGUUGAAUUAAGAUUUCUUUAUAGCGUAGGGGUUAUAGAAGAAGGUCUGUUCGACCUUUAA